This 482-nucleotide ribosomal RNA is filed under the name uncultured bacterium. RNAcentral describes it as "bacterial SSU rRNA". It matches the Rfam family "Bacterial small subunit ribosomal RNA", at positions 26 to 518 of the family's 1533-position model. The record is from RNAcentral.
AGGACGAACGCUGGCGGACGUGACCUAACACAUAGCAAGUCGAGCGAAGAUUAUAGCAAUGUAAUCUAGCGGCGGACGGGUGAGUAACGCGUGGGCAACCUACCUCAAACUGGGGGAUAACACAGGGAAACUUGUGCUAAUACCGCAUAACAUCAUGAAAUGACAUCAUUUUAUGAUCAAAGGAGCAAUCCCGGUAAGAGAUGGGCCCGCGUCCAAUUAGGCUAGUUGGUGGUGUAACGGACCACCAAGGCGACGAUUGGUAGCCGAACUGAGAGGUUGAUCGGCCACAUUGGGACUGAGACACGGCCCAGACUCCUACGGGAGGCAGCAGUGGGGAAUAUUGCGCAAUGGGGGAAACCCUGACGCAAGCAACGCCGCGUGAAGGAUGAAGGUUUUCGGAUCGUAAACUUCUUUGAUGAGGGACGAAAGCAAAUGACGGUACCUCAAAAACAAGCCACGGCUAACUACGUGCCAGCAGCAGC